Molecule: ribosomal RNA, 908 nt
Filed under: Bacillus subtilis
Lineage: Bacteria; Bacillati; Bacillota; Bacilli; Caryophanales; Bacillaceae
Description: bacterial SSU rRNA
Rfam family: Bacterial small subunit ribosomal RNA
Source: RNAcentral
CCACAAGGAGUUUGUAUUCAUGGCUCAGGACGAACGCUGGCGGCGUGCCUAAUACAUGCAAGUCGAGCGGACAGAUGGGAGCUUGCUCCUGAUGUUAGCGGCGGACGGGUGAGUAACACGUGGGUAACCUGCCUGUAAGACUGGGAUAACUCCGGGAAACCGGGGCUAAUACCGGAUGGUUGUUUGAACCGCAUGGUUCAAACAUAAAAGGUGGCUUCGGCUACCACUUACAGAUGGACCCGCGGCGCAUUAGCUAGUUGGUGAGGUAACGGCUCACCAAGGCAACGAUGCGUAGCCGACCUGAGAGGGUGAUCGGCCACACUGGGACUGAGACACGGCCCAGACUCCUACGGGAGGCAGCAGUAGGGAAUCUUCCGCAAUGGACGAAAGUCUGACGGAGCAACGCCGCGUGAGUGAUGAAGGUUUUCGGAUCGUAAAGCUCUGUUGUUAGGGAAGAACAAGUACCGUUCGAAUAGGGCGGUACCUUGACGGUACCUAACCAGAAAGCCACGGCUAACUACGUGCCAGCAGCCGCGGUAAUACGUAGGUGGCAAGCGUUGUCCGGAAUUAUUGGGCGUAAAGGGCUCGCAGGCGGUUUCUUAAGUCUGAUGUGAAAGCCCCCGGCUCAACCGGGGAGGGUCAUUGGAAACUGGGGAACUUGAGUGCAGAAGAGGAGAGUGGAAUUCCACGUGUAGCGGUGAAAUGCGUAGAGAUGUGGAGGAACACCAGUGGCGAAGGCGACUCUCUGGUCUGUAACUGACGCUGAGGAGCGAAAGCGUGGGGAGCGAACAGGAUUAGAUACCCUGGUAGUCCACGCCGUAAACGAUGAGUGCUAAGUGUUAGGGGGUUUCCGCCCCUUAGUGCUGCAGCUAACGCAUAAGCACUCCGCCUGGAGAACUUUCAAACGU